GAUGAAGAACGUAGCGAAAUGCGAUAAGUAAUGUGAAUUGCAGAAUCCAGUGAAUCAUCGAAUCUUUGAACGCACAUUGCGCCCGCCAGCAUUCUGGCGGGCAUGCCUGUUCGAGCGUCAUUUCAACCCUCGACCUCCCUUUGGGGAAGUCGGCGUUGGGGACCGGCAGCACACCGCCGGCCCUGAAAUGGAGUGGCGGCCCGUCCGCGGCGACCUCUGCGUAGUAAACCAACUCGCACCGGAACCCCGACGUGGCCACGCCGUAAAACACCCAACUUCUGAACGUUGACCUCGAAUCAGGUAGGACUACCCGCUGAACUUAAGCAUAUCAAUAGCGGAGGA
RNAcentral lists this unclassified non-coding RNA (342 nucleotides) under soil metagenome. RNAcentral describes it as "partial contains 5.8S ribosomal RNA, internal transcribed spacer 2, and large subunit ribosomal RNA". The stretch from base 1 to 120 matches the Rfam family "5.8S ribosomal RNA", at positions 35 to 154 of the family's 154-position model. The record is from RNAcentral.